Xyrichtys novacula (pearly razorfish) is the source of this 6488-nucleotide non-coding RNA. The record is from the annotation of a GenBank genome assembly. NCBI's taxonomy places the organism in Eukaryota, Metazoa, Chordata, Actinopteri, Labriformes, Labridae.
GAUGGAUUCUCCUCCAAACUCAGACAGGAGAGAGUGACAGCAGACGUGUAAAAGUGAACACACACUAAUAAUUAGAUUAGGAAAGACGUUCUUUGAUUGAUAAAGAUGAGGAAUAAGUGCAGACCACGCUGUUUGUUUGUAAAAUAGAUAAAUAAAGACUGAAUUCGGAGUGGACCUCCCUGUGUGUCUCUGUCUGUUGUGGACUUUCCCGGUGAGUUGUUAGCUAACUAGCUAAAACUGCGACCUAGCACUGCUAAUGUUUGUACCAAUAUUAAAGUAACUAUGACUUAAAUGUUGUUUACUAAAAACAUUCGGGAAGAUUUAACUGAAAGAGAUUAUUAAAGAAGUAGUGUCUAACUUUAAAACCGUCAUAUUGUGAUUUAGCUAACCGAGUUAGCUACUACAGGGUGCUAAGCUAACUUAGCUAACAGGUUGAAUUUCAUGUUUGUUGAUUCAGUCAAAGUUUACCUCAGUGGUUACAGACAGACUGAUAUAAGAAAGUUUAUACCUCAUGUUCUGUGUAACACAUAUCGAAAAAUAUGGUUUUAUUAAUAUUUAAUGUAGUUAAAAAGCAGAACUUUGAGUUGAUGUUGAGAAUUUAAUGUCACAUUACAGUGAUUAAAAAGAGAAACUGGAAGAAACUGUGAAACAGAAACAUGACUGACUGUUCUGACACCUUUGUUUUCUCUGUUACAGGAUGGUUUGUUGUUGCUGUGUGAGACUGACCCAGAAAUUCAAAGUACCCUCCAUUAUACUGCCUCCUGAUUCAUCCUCAUCUCCCCAUCAUCAUCAUCAUCAUCAUCAUCCCCUCUCCUGACACCCCUCUGGGAUCAGGAUGGACUCUAACCUGGUUAACGUUUGGGUAGGAACUCUGACCAAGCUGUAGAUUAAGUCAAACUGAUUCAUAUUAUUGGGAAACUGAUUUAAUCUCUUGGUCAUAUGUGUCGAUGUUUACACUUGUAACAGAGGUUAAAGGUUAAAACACAGAGGAUCAGCGUAUUUGGAGCGUGGCAGCAGGGUUGUGUGUCACGCAGCAAAUAGGUUUCCAUUCUAAUCAAAGCAGCAAAGCGUACAGGAUGAGUAUCAGCUCCGUCGCAGCAUCGCAUCGAGAGCAGUUCUGCUAAAGAUACACAGCGAGUCGAUUUUUGCAGAGAAGAUCGUUCUAGACAGGAAGUCAACCACAAAAAAACAUGCAUGUCAUCUGAUAUUUUAAAAUAAAACAGCUAGGGGUGGGUAUUGCCAAGGACCUCACGAUACGAUACGCAUCACGAUACUUGAGUCACGAUACGAUAUGAUAUUGCGAUAUCCAAAUGUUUGCGAUAUAUUGCGAUAUUCUACAUAGUUCACUGAAAAAUGUAAAAGGCAUUAUGCAUCUUAAAAUCCCAGUUGUAUGUACAUCAGAUGAUAGUGAUAAUUCAUGGGACAAACAGUCAAAACAAUGUAAUUCAAAUUAUCGAUGCCAUUUUAUUGUAAGUGCAAGUUACAACAUAUUUGCGUGAACAACACACUGUCUGAAACACAUUGAAAAGUGCAGUGUGCAUUAUUCUUAGUCUCCCUGAGCACAAUUAUGACACAAACUGCAGUGUGGGUCAGUGUCCACAUACUGAAACUGAAUUGAAACCCCAGUGGAUUAUGUUUCUUCUGAAUUUAGAGUAAAUACUCAAAAUAAAAUGCAGUGUCUCACACACACUGAAAUUGAAAAUGCAAAAUAAAGUGCAGCUUCUUGCCUUUGACCUUAAAUGACAAAAUUUAAUUCACAGUUGUCUCCCUGGACAAGAACUGUGUCACUGUUUGAACACUUCACUGAAUGUAUGUAAAAAAUAAAAUAUGCAAUGUUGCUGCCAGUGUGGCUCUCGUACAUGGCUCUCGUCUGCAACACAUGUGUUACCAGCUCCCAUUCGGCAUUAAUGUGGUGCGCCGUAAUUGUAAUGUAGGACUCGGUGGCUCGUGAUGUCCAACCGUCACAGGACAGUGCGACUCUCGGAGCAGAGCUAAGAACUGUUUUUAUUGUCUCCUUCACCUCGUCAUACAUUUUUGGCACAGCUACGUUAGCCAUGUACUUACGCUGCGGCAUCACAUAGCGCGGCUCCAAAGUAUGAAGCAUCCACCGAAAGCCGACGUUUUCCACAACGUUGUAUGGGCGCAAAUCUUUACAAAGAAAAUGCACCAUCGCCUCUGUGAUCCCCCGGGCUCGGGUUGAAGUAGAUGGGAGGACUUUGGCGAUGUCCAGUGUAGUUUGCUUUGGAUCGGAAGGUUUCGGUGGCUCCGGCUGAGCUAAUAUGUCGGGGUGGUGUCUUGCUAAAUGAGUUCUCAAGUUUGUUGUGUUACCCGAAUAUCUAAUGGGAGCGACACAGAGUUUGCAAAGCGCGUACUCUUUGUCCAGCUCAUUGUGUGUUUCUCCUUUCCUUUGGAAUCCAAAGUAUCUCCAAACAUCUGCCUUAAAGUUCGAGGGCGUUUCUAGUUUAACGUUACCAGCCAUGCUUGAUUGUUUUUUUCCCGGCUCCUCUUCCUCACUGCAACCGGCGGGGGAAAAAAGAGAAGAAGAAGUGAGGUAGCGGUACAGCGACACCUAGCGGAGCGGAGGUGCGGAAGUCGUACUGGAUUUGUUAACCCGUCUGAAACCUGAUUUAUUAUUUGAACAAAAAAUCGAUAUUAAUAUUUUGAAUAUCGAUAUUGAAUCGGAAGUCAAAGUAUCGCGAUAUAUCGCCAUAUCGAUAUUUUUGCCCACCCCUAAAAACAGCAUAUGUGAACUCCCGCCUGUGUAUCAGUUGGUGUAGAUGAGAAAUCCUUCCUGGUUCUGGAUUUAUCAGUAACACAGAACAAUCCGAUGGUCAAUCCCUGAUCCAUGUGGACCCCAACAGGACUUUGACCUGCUAACUCUGUCUGAAGGGAACAGCAGAAAGGAACAGAGUUUACUUUAUUAAACACCAGGAAACCUGCAAAAACACAAACUGGAAAAUCACUUCAAUAUCAACAGUCACUGAAUUAUAUCCACAUUAUCAGGAAAUGGACCACAGAGAGGAAAAACAACCUGUUGUGUGCAUGUUGUUUCCUCUGCUGCACUACGCUGCUGCUACGCUCCAAACACACUGAUCCUGUAUGUGAAACCCAACGCUGCUCUAAGGAACGUGCUCAAUACGCCGAUCCUUUAUGUUUUGGGCUUAAGGGUGAACAUAACUUUUGGACGUGAAGAGUAUGUUAUUUUGAAUGUGAAAGGGAAUAUUCUGGAUCGUAUGUUAUAAAUCAAACACAAGGAGUAAGAAAAAUUCAAUCCAGUAAGUUUGAUCAAGAAGAAAUCAGUGUUGGUGUCAAUUAUUAACGGGAGGCUGAAGUAUGAUUAUUUCUUUAUGGCGUAUCAGCUCUUCAUUGAACCUCGACUCAGAUCUGCCCACGCAACCUCACUUUGAAGGCUUUAGAUUGUAAAAAUCCAAUUGUAGGCUUUUAAAGGCUCUAUUUCAUCUCUAUUAGAUCUUUUAUAAUAUGAUGAUGCCUACAUUUGGAUAGGACAAUGUUUAGCAUAACUUUGACAGCUUGAGCCAUAUUUAUGAAGAGACGCUCUUUAACUGAUGUUGAAAUGCAGUUUGUGGCUUCCUAAUGUGCCCUCUUUCAAACCAUCUCUGUGCUGGAAAAGCUCACAGUGCUGUCUCUUAGCAACCUUUGUACCACCUGCUAUGAUGGGUGGAAGGUUGGAGCCUCAUGUGUGUGUGUGUGUGUGUGUGUGUGUGUGUGUGUGUGGAAGAUACAGAAGGUAAAAGGCAGAAGCAAUCGGUGGGGAGGUUUAAGAUGCAGUGACUGACAACUUCCCAAGUUCAGUAGCUGAUAGAGAGUAAAAACUGAGAUUUAGUGAAGGAGAGAAAGUUUCUUUUUCGAAGUGAAGAGACUGAAAUUCAGAGAUUUCAUCAGCCGCUGAAGGAUACAGAAGAUGAAGAGGAGUAGAGCGAGAGUGAAGUGUGUCGGGCAGACGUUAGUUAGAGAUGGAGGGUGACAGAGGACAGCGAGAGGAGGGAGGAUAAAUAAUUAAUCUUAACAUCACAAGUGUCCUUUUUUCAUACCCAAAUGAGAAACACAAUGCAAUAUUAACAUAAGCGUGCGCGUCCAAGGCAGCUCUCGCUUUGACCAUGAGCUGUAGCGGCAUGUUUCAUUAGUUCUUUUUGAGUCUGACAUAAAAAAAGGGACCGCAAGUUUAUUUUUGGGGAGGGGGGAGUCGAGGAGAAAUGAAGCGAGAUUAAAGAGGGAGAGAGGGAUGAAAGAUGAAUGGAUGGAGGUCUGAAACAGCUUGUUUAUAAUACAUCAGAGAGAGACAGAGACACAGAGAGUGCAUUAGACAAAAAAGUGAGAGGAAAAAGAGAAAAAGGGGCGCGAAGAGGAAGUUAAAAACAAACUCUGGAGAAAAGAUGGAGAGAUGACAGGUACAAACAUAUCCUUGAAUGCUGCUGCUGCUGCUGCCUCAUCUUUAAUUUAACCAGAUUAAAUCUUUGAACGGAUCAGAGGGUUCAACGAUGAGGUGCUUGUUAAUUACACUUGGUCCUGGCAGCCUUGAAGAAUACAAGGAACAAGAAUGUGACUAAAAUCGAAAGGGCAGGAGGACUCGAUGAUAAAAAUAAGAAUUAAUUGAAUUUACAUAGCGCAUGUCGAAGAACCCAAGGUUGCUUUACAACGUGGUACUGAUGAAUUAAAGAUGUUAAUAUUAUAUAUACAUAGGGCUGGACCACAUAACAAUAAUGAUACAUAUCAAAAAUUAAUUUCCCUCAAUACUGAUAUGAAACAUGAUUAAUAUCCUUUUAAAUAGAUGAAUUCUGACAUGUUUUGGUCAACUAUAUGAAUAGCCAAUGAAAAGGGGUCACGCUGAACCAAUCAUGAGCUGAAUUAGAACCAAGUAUCAAACAACUGCGUCGUAGCAGACAGCAGCUACACCCAACCAUAGCACUUUAACAGGUGAAGCAGUUAGGGCUGGGCGAUAUGGGAAAAGUUUAUCACAAUAUUAUUUUCAUAUCAGUCGAUAUCGAUCAAUAUCAGGAUAUAAAAUGAAAUCUAACAGUGUUUAUUGGUCUCAUGUCUUUUCCAACACAAUAAUCUCCUGCAUCUGUGAGGUCUUUGUGUCUCUUUGGCGUUUUGUCGUAAGGCGUCGCUCUAGAGAAAGCCGACUGAAUGGUCGUCUGUUUCAGGCGCCAUGGGCUCCUCGCUCCUCUCGGGGUUUGUAACCUUUUGCGUUGCGCGUGCUCUGCGGCGUGGCGCUGCUUCAGGUGGUGAAAAAGAUUUGAGGUAUUCCCCGACUUUGUGAGAACAUGUACUCGACAUAAUUUACAGUCCACAUUACUCUGCUUCAUGUCCGACCUCCAAAAACCAAAAUACCUCCACACCACCGACGUUUUCCUAACGCCAGUGUUGUGGUUGACAUUGAUGUGGUCAUCUGUUGAGCCUUCAUGGUCAUUUCUGUCGGGGGUAGCACUCAUUUUCUUUGUUUCUCACCAACAGUGCUGUCGGCUUCACCUGUUAAAGUGCUAUGGUUGGGUGGAGCUGCUGUCUGCUACGACGCUGCAGUUGGUUGAUACUUGGUUCUAAUUCAGAACAUGAUUGGUUCAGACCCGGAGAAACUCCCCUUUUCAUUGGCUAUUCUUAUAGUCGACCAAAACAUGACAGAAUGACGACUAUUGAAAAGAAUAUUGAUCAUGUUUUAUAUUGAUAUUGAGGGAAAUUAAUUUCCGUUAUCGUUAUCAUACCUAGGAACAUUUACGAUUGACAAGUGAUUUUUUCAGUAUUGUGAUAUCAACAUGGACGGACAUGAAAAAGAUAUAUGAUAAACUUUUUCCCCUUAUCGCCCAGCCUGAUAUAGACAUGACUAAAAGACAGAUAAAAUAAUGAAUCAAGCACACACUGUUUUUUAUUCAAAGAGGUAUCUCUCCAACACUCAGUAUAAUGCAGAUAAAAUAUAUUUCAUUAUCAAAGUCAAGACUUCCUGUACAAGAAGGAAAACCAGGGGCCUCUUUCUUUCUUCCAAGUGUCCUUGGGUUUCGGAAAAGAUGCUUCAAAUCUCAUUUCUUUCCACUUUUAUUACUUUAGCUCCCAGCGAAGUCGUGCUUCACAGGCAAUUGUUGCAGGGGCCUUGAGUGCAAACAGACUGAAACAGACUCGAGAGAGGACAUGAAUAAGAAAAGCAGGAAGACGCACUCUUAUGAAUGCCAGAUAUUGUCAAGUGUGAAACAAAAGGAGAGAAAAUAUGUGUUUUUUUCUUUUUUUCAUUGUUUAAGAAAUGUAGAGGAGCAAGAGAAACAAGUAGAGAUCUGUGCCGGGCGUCGGAGCUGAGGCACAAAGGCAUCCUCGUUAAAAUCACAAACCACAUGAAAAGUUACGGCUCCUUCCUUCUGUCUCCAGCUGCUCUCAAUCCAAUUAUGGCCUCUGUAGAAAACUUCAUUCCUCUCAUUUAUAUGUAGCUCAUGUUUUAAUCCACAUCAUGUAUGUUUUAUGAGCGCUGAUAAAUAAUAAACGAC